UAGGGAAUCUUCCGCAAUGGGCGAAAGCCUGACGGAACAACGCCGCGUGAGUGAUGAAGGUCUUCGGAUCGUAAAACUCUGUUAUUAGGGAAGAACAAAUGUGUAAGUAACUAUGCACGUCUUGACGGUACCUAAUCAGAAAGCCACGGCUAACUACGUGCCAGCAGCCGCGGCAAUACGUAGGUGGCAAGCGUUAUCCGGAAUUAUUGGGCGUAAAGCGCGCGUAGGCGGUUUUUUAAGUCUGAUGUGAAAGCCCACGGCUCAACCGUGGAGGGUCAUUGGAAACUGGAAAACUUGAGUGCAGAAGAGGAAAGUGGAAUUCCAUGUGUAGCGGUGAAAUGCGCAGAGAUAUGGAGGAACACCAGUGGCGAAGGCGACUUUCUGGUCUGUAACUGACGCUGAUGUGCGAAAGCGUGGGGAUCAAACAGG
RNAcentral lists this ribosomal RNA (429 nucleotides) under Actinomycetes bacterium. Its description in RNAcentral is "Actinobacteria bacterium partial 16S ribosomal RNA". It matches the Rfam family "Bacterial small subunit ribosomal RNA", at positions 355 to 776 of the family's 1533-position model. Lineage: Bacteria; Bacillati; Actinomycetota; Actinomycetes. The record is from RNAcentral.